ACUCAAUAGAUACCCGGGUAGUCCACGCCGUAAACGAUGAGUGCUAAGUGUUAGAGGGUUUCCGCCCUUUAGUGCUGCAGCUAAACGCAUUAAGCACUCCGCCUGGGGAGUACGGUCGCAAGACUGAAACUCAAAGGAAUUGACGGGGGCCCGCACAAGCGGUGGAGCAUGUGGUUUAAUUCGAAGCAACGCGAAGAACCUUACCAGGUCUUGACAUCCUCUGACAACUCUAGAGAUAGAGUGUUCCCCUUCGGGGGACAGAGUGACAGGUGGUGCAUGGUUGUCGUCAGCUCGUGUCGUGAGAUGUUGGGUUAAGUCCCGCAACGAGCGCAACCCUUGAUCUUAGUUGCCAGCAUUUAGUUGGGCACUCUAAGGUGACUGCCGGUGACAAACCGGAGGAAGGUGGGGAUGACGUCAAAUCAUCAUGCCCCUUAUGACCUGGGCUACACACGUGCUACAAUGGAUGGUACAAAGGGCUGCAAGACCGCGAGGUCAAGCCAAUCCCAUAAAA
RNAcentral lists this ribosomal RNA (511 nucleotides) under uncultured bacterium. RNAcentral's name for it is "bacterial SSU rRNA". It matches the Rfam family "Bacterial small subunit ribosomal RNA", at positions 772 to 1281 of the family's 1533-position model. The record is from RNAcentral.